This 292-nucleotide ribosomal RNA is filed under the name uncultured bacterium. RNAcentral's name for it is "partial 16S ribosomal RNA". It matches the Rfam family "Bacterial small subunit ribosomal RNA", at positions 505 to 796 of the family's 1533-position model. The record is from RNAcentral.
GUGUCAGCCGCCGCGGUAACACGUAAGGGGCAAGCGUUGUUCGGAAUUAUUGGGCGUAAAGGGUACGUAGGCGGUCCUGUAAGCCCGACGUGAAAUACUGGAGCUUAACUCCAGAACUGCGCCGGGAACUGUAGGACUUGAGUCAUGGAAGGGGAGUUGGAAUUCCAGGUGUAGGGGUGAAAUCUGUAGAUAUCUGGAAGAACACCGGUGGCGAAGGCGAACUCCUGGCCAAUGACUGACGCUGAGGUACGAAAGUGCGGGGAGCAAACAGGAUUAGAUACCCGCGUAGUCC